RNAcentral lists this ribosomal RNA (253 nucleotides) under uncultured bacterium. Its description in RNAcentral is "partial 16S ribosomal RNA". It matches the Rfam family "Bacterial small subunit ribosomal RNA", at positions 524 to 776 of the family's 1533-position model. The record is from RNAcentral.
UCCGAAGGGGGCGAGCGUUGUUCGGAUUUACUGGGCGUAAAGGGCGCGUAGGCGGCCUUUUAAGUUAGGUGUGAAAGCCCGGGGCUUAACCCCGGAAAUGCACUUAAUACUGGAAGGCUUGAGUAUGGCAGAGGUUAGUGGAAUUCCCAGUGGAGAGGUGAAAUUCGUAGAGAUUGGGAGGAACACCAGUAGCGAAGGCGGCUAACUGGGCCAUAACUGACGCUGAGGCGCGAAAGCGUGGGUAGCAAACAGG